ACCAUAUAAAAAGUAGGUCAACAAAUGAAGAAUGACAAGAAAUGAAAGCCCAAUUAAACCUUCAUAUUCUGGGCCUCUAGAAGCCAAAUUAAAUGGACAUUUGGUACAUGAAAAUGAACUGGUCAGCCGGAUGUUUAUUUCUCUUUCGGGACAAUACCGCGUGUAAUGCUAGUAAUAAAAUCGUUAAAUCUUACAUUCAGACAACCAAUAACUCCGAAUAAAAAGUAAGAUCAGUUGAUAAACAUUACACAUAAGACUAUCUAAGUAACAAGAGAAAAAAGUUAGGGCUGUAUCUUUACUAAUUUGAGCCUGUAAAUGGUGCUUAGCAUGCUUUAACCAAGGCUGCGUCUACGGUUUGUUGAUGAUGGUGCAAUUUCAAUGGCUCUAUUCGUGCAUCUAUAGAGAGAAAAUGCGCAAAAAGUUCAGUUUGCCGGAACAACCUUGUUGUGAUUGUUGCGUUCAUUUCUGCUGCGAAUUAUGUGCCCUUUGUCAAGAGCAUGCCGAGCUCAAAGCUAGAGGCUUUGAUCCCUCCAUCGGUUGGACUGGGCAACCAAAUGCUGUUCCAAAGAUGCAUUUCUCGAUGUUUAAAUAAAACAGUAGCCAUCAAACUACAGGAGGAACCAACAAACAAUUCAAAAGUCAAGUUGUUUCAGAGGCAAAUAAAGUCUUUUUCAAUUUUCAAUUAGUGAAAAGCUUUAUGCGUCAGUUGAUAAAUAAUUACGAGUCCUUUACGAAGCGUGAGGACUUCCUUUCCUCUCUUUUCUUCUUCAUUUCAUAAAUUCAUAUAGUGGAAUUCAAGGUGAACUAUUGAAUAGCUUUCUAAGCCUUUUGAUCAAUGUCUCCCUCACGUGUACUCCAUGCUUUUGGAAAUAAGAAGGAAAUUCAAGAGAAGCUAUCUAGCUCGAAUUGCACAUGCCAUAUGAAGCUACUUUUGUUA
Long non-coding RNA from Rosa rugosa (rugosa rose), 937 nucleotides. RefSeq lists it as uncharacterized. The transcript has 2 exons. The record is from RefSeq and is a predicted model, not a curated record. Lineage: Eukaryota; Viridiplantae; Streptophyta; Magnoliopsida; Rosales; Rosaceae.